This is a long non-coding RNA of Oncorhynchus keta (chum salmon), 377 nucleotides long. RefSeq lists it as uncharacterized. The record is from RefSeq and is a predicted model, not a curated record. NCBI's taxonomy places the organism in Eukaryota, Metazoa, Chordata, Actinopteri, Salmoniformes, Salmonidae. The transcript has 3 exons.
AUAGUUUGGAAAAGUGCGUUGGUGGCCAGGGAAGAAUCUCUUAGUUUGAAUGACGGCCCACAUCAACUCUAUCUGACUUCUUUACAAUACAAUAUUUCUACCUUUAUUUAACUAGGCAAGUCAGUUAAGAACAAAUUCUUAUUUUCAAUGACGGCCUAGGAACAGUGGGUUAACUGCCUGUUCAGGGGAACAGUGGAUUAACUGCCUGUUCAGGGGAACAGUGGGUUAACUGCCUGUUCAGGGGAACAGUGGGUUAACUGCCUGUUCAGGGGAACAGUGGGUUAACUGCCUGUUCAGGGGAACAGUGGGUUAACUGCCUGUUCAGGGGAACAGUGGGUUAACUGCCUGUUCAGGGGAACAGUGGGUUAACUGCCUGU